GAUGAACGCUGGCGGCGUGCCUAAUACAUGCAAGUCGAGCGAACAGACGAGGAGCUUGCUCCUCUGACGUUAGCGGCGGACGGGUGAGUAACACGUGGAUAACCUACCUAUAAGACUGGGAUAAAUUCGGGAAACCGGAGCUAAUACCGGAUAAUAUAUUGAACCGCAUGGUUCAAUAGUGAAAGACGGUUUUGCUGUCACUUAUAGAUGGAUCCGCGCCGCAUUAGCUAGCUGGUAAGGUAACGGCUUACCAAGGCAACGAUGCGUAGCCGACCUGAGAGGGUGAUCAGCCACACUGGAACUGAGACGCGGUCCAGACUCCUACGGGAGGCAGCAGUAGGGAAUCUUCCGCAAUGGGCGGAAGCCUGACGGGACAACGCCGCGUGGGUGAUGAAGGUCUUCGGAUCGUAGAACUCUGUUGUUAGGAAAGAACGAUUGUGUAAGUAACUAUGCACGUCUUGACGGUACCUAAUCAGAAAGCCACGGCUAACUACGUG
This 497-nucleotide ribosomal RNA is filed under the name uncultured bacterium. RNAcentral's name for it is "partial 16S ribosomal RNA". It matches the Rfam family "Bacterial small subunit ribosomal RNA", at positions 28 to 507 of the family's 1533-position model. The record is from RNAcentral.